UCUUGCAUUGCUAAUCUCGUUCGCUCCAGGAGGAAUGGGUGUUUCGUGGCUGCGUUGCGGCCCUCCGCAUGCAUAGGAGGCCGACUGCAGUGAGUUCAUCGGCUGCGUCCACCAGUCUUGAUGUUGCAGAGGUCAGAGGGUUUCCAGGAGAAUCAGACUAUCCCUCGAGGCCCCAAGAAAGAGGGCAAGAGUGAGCGGUGCAGUGUUAGGUUUGGAAGUACCAAGGCACAACCUUAAUUAGUGGCUGAUAGGGUGCUCUAGGUACUGCACGGCAUGGUAUUACUGACCUGCAGCUUGAUGAUUCGAUCAGGUGAGGUUUGCCGUAAUAUUCAUUGUCUAUGCUAUUGAACAUGAGCUUUGGGUACUUGACAUCGUAAAACAUGGUGAAGGAUCAAAUGAUUUGCUUCAUUUGAUCGUACAGUGUGGGCAGUUCUAGGUGAGUUGGUUGUACUGGACAUUAAUUUAGGCCAUGCUCAAAAGUUCCCGAGUUCACAUAUAUAGUAACAAAUUUGCCUUGUUUCUUCUAAAAGAGUCGAUUUUGCAUGUAUUUAACAGAAACGUUAUCAAGUCUGCUGCAUUCAAAAUCUUGAUAAUAUUUCUAAUGUAUUGAUAUGGUGUAAAUAUUUUAAAGAAUUUGUAUGUAGAAAACCAAUUACAGUUAGAUAGAAAAUUUAGCUUGCUAUAAGGAAUUCCGAGGCAGGUUUGGUCCCAAUGUCUUGGGACAAAUGCAUGGGUUUUCACUCUGCUAAUAUGGAGACCUUUGUGCCAGCUGGUUUGGUGCAUUCAGCUUAGUCAGGAACAUUCUUCAGGAUAGAGCUACUGGAAGCAAGUAACAUGUGCAUAUUAUUCGUCCAUAACAAGAACUUAAAUCCAUAAUCUGAUAAAAGUGAAGGUCAGAUAGAGGAAUAUCACUGGUCCUGUCAAGAAAGAAUGCUCCUAUUGUUUUAUUUUUGUCAAUAAACAAUUACGUGUAUGGGGGUUGCCCCAUGGAUGAAGCAAGGUGAUGCCGAUGGCCGUCCGGCCUGGUCCUCAUAUCGAUCGGUUUGUUGCUGGUCUUUGAUGCUUGAUCUUCUGUUAUCUUCGGCCGGCAUGGUGCUUAGUAAACAAGCAUGAUCUACUUAUGAGAAGUGGGUAUACUUUUUCUUCAGUUCUCUUCGUAAGAGUUCUUUGAUCCUUGUGAAGACUUGACAUGAAUUAUAGUGGAUGCAGGGCAUGAAUGGUAGGACGUGCUUCCGUCGCCGCCCCUGGUCCUCCACUCCUCCUCUCCCCUGCCUCCCCUUCUGCUAGCAGCAGCGGCCGGGGCCGCGCGAAGCAGUAACGAAGGACGACGGUGGCAGCGAGUGGACGGAUGGAGGUCACGGGCAUGUCUCCUCUCUAUGUCCUCCUGAACAUCAUAGCUCUAUACGUGUCACGGUCAAUCGGCAAUAUAAGCAACGAACGUAUCCAACCUCUUGUGAUCCCUUCGUCCCUAAGCUUUGGACCAGUGAAUUUUUCGUCUCUUCGUAAAACACACAAUUUCCAUAUGUUAUAAACUGCCCUUGCAAGUGCAAGUGAUACUGCAAAUGUCAUCUUGUUUGAUUUAUUUUGCCAUUUAUUUGAUUCGUGUCCUUCGAUUUGUAUAGUUCUUUAAUGAUUGAUAUUACUUGAUAAGAAAUGGGGAAAUACUUUGAAGUCCAAUAUAGGGGAAUAUGGCAGUUUUGGAGGUGCGGACAUUGCUUAUCUGAAUCUAUGGUUCAAUGGAUAUGACUAAUUAUCUGAAUCUAGAUGAUUUUCAUGUUUUUUCUUGCUUGCAUGAUAUGAGCAUGACUGAUGUGAAGUUCGAUAUAGGUUGGCCGUAGAGCCGGAAGUACAAUAUUUCCACUGCUGGCAUAUAUCUCCAGAUAUAUUUGUUCAUGUGUGUAAUUUUCUUCACAAGCUGUUGACUUGGUUAAGAAACACACGAAUUUCAGACAUAACUGGGUUAAUGCAUUUGCGCGGGAUAUUACAUCAGAACAAUCGAUAGUGGUUGUGGAGCCGUCCUUUGCGACUGGUAACAUGUUAUACUUUGCUUACGUAUUUUCAUGCCUAUUUUACAAUAUUUUACUAUAUGUUCACAUUUAUUAUGCUUUCAGCAGUUG
Molecule: non-coding RNA, 2117 nt
Organism: Triticum urartu
Lineage: Eukaryota; Viridiplantae; Streptophyta; Magnoliopsida; Poales; Poaceae
Source: RefSeq, a predicted model, not a curated record